GGGGCCGUCAUGGUUUUGACGGAGAAGAUUCGCUUAGCGGCAGCAGUGGCCUGGUAAACCCAAAGACCAAAAACAAAUAACUGACAACAAUGUCAAACCUUGGAUGGUGCGUAACAACGCCGUCCUCGCCCGCGCUUAAUCCAGCACCUUAACAAUUAGGUUCCCGCAUUCGGGACGGACACGCUCCCCACGCUUGCUCACCUUGGGCGUGGCUGAGUGUCAUAUAGAGGUGAUGGCUGCCUGAUUUGGCUUAACCCAGACAGCGAGAUAAUCGAGCCUCGCCUAUCGGCUUUGGCGACAUGGUCGCCGAUAGGUCAAAUUCCAAUGACGCCUAAACUGUAGGCGCCGUUAGGGGAACUUCUUCGGACCAGGGUUCGAUUCCCUGCGACUCCACCA
RNAcentral lists this transfer-messenger RNA (396 nucleotides) under bovine gut metagenome. It matches the Rfam family "transfer-messenger RNA". From Rfam's summary of the family: Bacterial tmRNA, also known as 10Sa RNA or SsrA, is named for its dual tRNA and mRNA-like properties. Its role is to liberate the mRNA from a stalled ribosome. To accomplish this part of the tmRNA is used as a reading frame that ends in a translation stop signal. The record is from RNAcentral.